CAUGAACAGAUAGUUUUUUUUGUUGUUUUGUUUUUUGGGGGUAGCUUUUUUUCAUUUGCAGACUAGAAAAUGCUUUAAAAAGCAAGGAAAAUAUCAUUACCUUGGUUGCACAGAAAAAACGGAGACUGUUCGCCUCGAGACUCCCAUGCAUGGCCAGCACUGGAGUACAACCUCAUGCAGGCCUCAGUGGCAGUGAGGUGGCACUCAGCUGCCUGCUAACCAAACAAACACUUGCCUGCGACUUUUGCGUCUCUGCACCUUCCACGAAAAUCUAUACUGUUCAUGAUCCCACGUUAUCAACGUGACUAACUCCCCUUGUUCCUGCUGAUUUCAGCAGAACCUAAGGACCCUUCAUGACAUGCCCAGCAUGCUGCACCAGCAGGGCUGCUUUUAAAGACGAGAAAACAAGGAUUCUGAGAGUACAGAAUAAAGUACCUUUUCUUCCAUUUUAAACAAGAAAGAACUGAAUCAAGCUAUGAUUUUAGAGAAUAAAAACAAUGUUCUUCAGUUACACGCAAGAAUAACACAGGUAAAUUGCACAUCUUUGAGAACUAAGGAUUAUUCUGGACAGAGAAGAUGUGAGCAGAAGAAUCCUCACUGGAGAAAACUCAGCAUCAUUACCUGGAGCUACAUUUAACAGAAACACUACCUCUCCAUGUGGUUGGUAGUAUUGCCUGGCUUUCUUUAGUGGUUGCUUUGAUGUUAGUAAAUGUGCACUGUAUUAGAGAAUUCGGAAUAAAAUGGUUGCUUCGCUCCUUGAUGAGCUAUUAUUCAUAAACAAAUGGAGAGGUCACCGUGAGGACAUGAUGGGCGUAGCUGAAGUUAAGCACAGCAAAACCAGAGUUCUGGUUUCUAAUUUGGGCAACACAGCAAUUACUUCUCUCUGACCAACCUGGAAACCAAACAGAAGAGUUCACCUCAUCCUUUUAUUGCCCACACAGCUUAGUCAUGCUUUUUGUUUAUCAUAUUAUCACCACAUAAUUGCUUACAAAUCUUCAAAAUUAGCCUUUGAUACUUUGACAGACUUCAAUAUGGAAAUGGUAACAAAAAAGUUUUAAAUUUGCUGUCUUCAUCCAAACCAAACAAAACGUAACCUCACUUUAGAGCCUUAGUUUUUUCUUAAGUUAAUACAAAAUUCCUUUUCAAAUCAUUGUAUUUCCCAGGCAGACUGCUAUUACUCAGUUGACUGCUGUAUCUUUUGACACACGAUGAGCAGGGACGAGCCAGGAGGCAGUUGCCCUAACACCAAAAACCUGAUUUAGGCACUGGUGAGACUGCAGGCUGCAGACUGGCGUGAUGCUAAAUAAACUAUCCCCUGUAGAAUUCAUUUAUUCCAGAGCCCUGAAAAAUCAGUUUGCUAAGGGAAAGUACGAGUCUGAAAGCUAGAGGCAAGUUUGGAGUAGAAACUUGUUUUCUAGCACUCUUACUAACUGUCCACUUCAGGUUUAGGGUCUUGCUACAAGCAUCAUCCUGUCAGACAGAAAGCAGCAGGCUGACCUGAAGCACCACAUCAGCACAACGGGGACAAAUACAACCUUCAGCCUGCAGUGAGCAUUUUGCUGGGGCACACCUGAACCAGGCCAAUGCUUCGCUUUGAGUCUAGCAGUGGCAUAUCCUAUCCAAAACUGAGAUAAGUGAUAACGGGAGGCAGCAUGGUGGUUGUCAGCCCCCUGUACCUCCUGCACACUCCCAGCAGUCAUCGAGAAUCAAAACUCCUGGAGUUCUACAAAAAUCCAAGUCACCAUGCACAGGAACAAUAUUUAUUGCUUUUCUAUUUCUGAUCUUAUUUUCUGCCAUUGUAUGACUUGCCUCCAGUCUAAUAAUACCACUGCUAAAAUCCCUUUGGCCCUGGAGUUCAGAAACUGUAUGUGAAUAGAUAUUGUCCAAAGAUCUUUGUAUAAAAUGAAAUAAAUAAAUAAAUAAACCCCACACCUCUCCGCAGCCUGACUUGCUGGUAAAAACAGUUAACUAUUUUACCAUCUGACCAACUGUUGGUAUCCUGCUGAUGUGCAUAUUUGAUUUUCCUGGCAUUAAGUGAAUUUAAACGUUCUGGGCACAGACUCAACGUUCUGGUAAUUUUCUUAUACUUUGGCUUUCCCAAAGACAAAGGCAAAAGAACAGAGAAAGCCUUCCAUGUGCAGAUUCACUCCAGAUUUGAUUCAAUACAUACAGUUGGAAUUAAUGUGCCUAAAAAACAGGAAACCUUUUCAUAUUGGUAUUGCAAUACACACUUUUCUUUUUUGUAAUGUUAUUUUCAUGCUGCAUCAGACAAAAAUGUACUGAAAUUCUGAAAUACUGAAAAUCCUGUCAGAGAAUUUGAUGAAACAAAACAAACAAACAAACCUGAGAAAUAAAAU
This is a long non-coding RNA of Cygnus olor (mute swan), 2357 nucleotides long. RefSeq lists it as uncharacterized. NCBI's taxonomy places the organism in Eukaryota, Metazoa, Chordata, Aves, Anseriformes, Anatidae. The record is from RefSeq and is a predicted model, not a curated record. The transcript has 3 exons.